Molecule: non-coding RNA, 71 nt
Organism: Aplosporella prunicola CBS 121167
Lineage: Eukaryota; Fungi; Ascomycota; Dothideomycetes; Botryosphaeriales; Aplosporellaceae
Source: the annotation of a RefSeq genome assembly
GAUUCUUUAACUUAAAGGUAAAGUGUACUUUUGAUAAGAGUAAGAUUGGCGUUCAAGUCGCUGAAGAAUCA